GACGUAGGGGGCAAGCGUUGUCCGGAAUCAUUGGGCGUAAAGAGCGCGUAGGCGGUCCGGUAAGUCCGCUCUGAAAGUCCGGGGCUCAACCCCGGGAGGCGGGCGGAUACUGUCGGGCUAGAGUCCGGAAGAGGCGAGUGGAAUUCCUGGUGUAGCGGUGAAAUGCGCAGAUAUCAGGAGGAACACCAAUGGCGAAGGCAGCUCGCUGGGACGGUACUGACGCUGAGGCGCGAAAGCGUGGGGAGCAAACAGG
Molecule: ribosomal RNA, 253 nt
Filed under: uncultured bacterium
Lineage: Bacteria
Description: partial 16S ribosomal RNA
Rfam family: Bacterial small subunit ribosomal RNA
Source: RNAcentral